CUGGCGGCGUGCUUAACACAUGCAAGUCGAACGGAAAGGCCCGCUUGCGGGUACUCGAGUGGCGAACGGGUGAGUAACACGUGGGUAACCUGCCCCCUGCUUCGGGAUAACUCCGGGAAACCGGGGCUAAUACCGGAUAUUCAUUGCCUGCCGCAUGGUGGGUGGUGGAAAGUUUUUUCGGCUGGGGAUGGGCCCGCGGCCUAUCAGCUUGUUGGUGGGGUGAUGGCCUACCAAGGCUUCGACGGGUAGCCGGCCUGAGAGGGCGACCGGCCACACUGGGACUGAGACACGGCCCAGACUCCUACGGGAGGCAGCAGUGGGGAAUAUUGCGCAAUGGGCGGAAGCCUGACGCAGCGACGCCGCGUGAGGGAUGACGGCCUUCGGGUUGUAAACCUCUUUCAGCAGGGACGAAUGUAGACGGUACCUGUAGAAGAAGCACCGGCCAACUACGUGCCAGCAGCCGCGGUAAUACGUAGGGUGCGAGCGUUGUCCGGAAUUAUUGGGCGUAAAGAGCUCGUAGGCGGUCUGUCGCGUCGAAUGUGAAAACCCGGGGCUCAACUCCGGGCUUGCAUUCGAUACGGGCAGGCUAGAGUUCGGUAGGGGAGUCUGGAAUUCCUGGUGUAGCGGUGAAAUGCGCAGAUAUCAGGAGGAACACCGGUGGCGAAGGCGGGACUCUGGGCCGAUACUGACGCUGAGGAGCGAAAGCGUGGGGAGCGAACAGGAUUAGAUACCCUGGUAGUCCACGCCGUAAACGUUGGGCGCUAGGUGUGGGGGUCCUUCCACGAUCUCCGUGCCGCAGCUAACGCAUUAAGCGCCCCGCCUGGGGAGUACGGCC
This 835-nucleotide ribosomal RNA is filed under the name uncultured bacterium. Its description in RNAcentral is "bacterial SSU rRNA". It matches the Rfam family "Bacterial small subunit ribosomal RNA", at positions 36 to 887 of the family's 1533-position model. The record is from RNAcentral.